Long non-coding RNA from Betta splendens (Siamese fighting fish), 1743 nucleotides. The record is from Ensembl. Lineage: Eukaryota; Metazoa; Chordata; Actinopteri; Anabantiformes; Osphronemidae.
CAGAUACUACAGUGUGUGUUAAGAAACCAUGUCAAAAUACGUCACACUAAACAGUAUGAAUUGUUUCAUAAACUAUUGUAUUUAAUAAUUACUACUAUUUUGGGCAUAAUCAAAGGGACGGGUUUAUUUGUGUGGGUGGGAUAAGCAGCAUCUUUCAUCAAUACUUUACACUUGAGGAUUAUUAAGAGGUCGUGUUUCUAAUCAGAUAAUGAGGCCUUGUUCACGCCUGUGCUGGUUUUGUCUGUGCAGGUUCUAAUGAAACCGACCACAUCUGAUGGUGAAGCAACACACCUUUAAAGAUGCAGCCUCUGUGAUGCUGUUUAAAAGCUUAUUGCAUUUCCUGGAGGGACUGGCGACGAGGCAGAAAACACCAGCUUAAUAUUUACUGCAUUAGGCUUUUUACACUCGUACUGUGACGUCCUGCAGCUGCAGCGCAAGAUGACCUUGAUUCUUCUGAUGAUUCUCUACUUCACCAUUUCACCUGUUGCUAAAUGGCACCGAGGCUAUUGGCCACGACCUCGCCAGCCUUCCAUCCCUCUGUGGCCGCUGUUUCCAGGUCUGCUUCCACGACCGUUUCCUCCACCACCACCACCGUUACCGGCACCAAAGCCAGCCACGACUACGACCUCAACCACGACUAAAGCCACGACUACGACUCCAACCACCACCACAACGACCCCCACUCCAACCACAACGACUCCAGCUCCAACAACGACUCCAGCUCCAACAACGACUCCAGCUCCAACAACGACUCCAGCUCCAACAACGACUCCAGCUCCAACCACGACUCCAGCUCCAACAACGACUCCAGCUCCAACCCCGACUCCAGCUCCAACAACGACUCCAGCUCCAACAACGACUCCAGCUCCAACCACAACCCCGGCUCCAACUACUCCAACCCCAGACCCGACGGUCCCGACCACCAUUGCUGUUAGUCCACGAGGAGACAACAGAUAAUGCGUGAUGAGCUGAGAGCAGAAUUAGCUUUUCCUUCAUUCACUAUUCUUUGGUUUGCACAAAAAAAAUCUUCAUCUGGAACCCUAGAAUGUUGGUAAUAUUUUAGACUUUGGAAGCAUAGUUAAAACAAGAUAUUAAGUUUCACAAAAGUAUUUUCUUGCAUGCUUUUAAAUUUCAGUAUUUAUUAAUACCAAUAUGUAUGAUUUUUAAUAUAUUUGCUGCUUACUUUUCCUAUAAUGUCCAUGUUACGUUUUCAGAAUGUAGUGACGUAUUGUGAUGUGGAAUAGGAACCGGUCUUUUGGUGCGAGACACCAGCGGGACUGUCUUGAUGACAUACUGAUGUAAUAUCCACUCAGCGUGGCCACAUUUCACCACCCCUGGAUCAACGCAGCUUAAGAAAAGGAUGAGCGUUAAGCCUGUAAUACCCUCAUGUCUGCUUCGCCAGUGAAGUGUCUUGCACUAUAUUUUUUAUCAUGACUCAGCCUCUUGACCAGUAUUUUCUUUGCUGCACUGCCAAAAUCUUUGCUGCACUUAACAGAACAGAACAUGGUCCACUUCCUCAACAUUCCCACCAAUGAACAGCUGUUAUUUAAUUCCCAACCAAAUCACUGUGGGCUCAUGGUUUAUUUGCUUUCCCCAAAAGUGGGUUUGCACAAAGAUUUGUUAUGAAUGUACUAUUUUAAAGAUUUGGAAAAGUUAGUUUACAGGCAAACUUCACAGCCUAAAUUUAAUCAUUUUAAAAUAGGAACUAAAAUAAACUGAACCAAAUAAUUUUUUGUUUAGUCA